GACGAACGCUGGCGGCGUGCUUAACACAUGCAAGUCGAACGGAAAGGCCCCUUUGGGGGUACUCGAGUGGCGAACGGGUGAGUAACACGUGAGUAACCUGCCCUUGACUUCGGGAUAACUUCAGGAAACUGGGGUUAAUACCGGAUAGGAAUCCUUGCUGCAUGGUGGGGGUUGGAAAGCUUCGGCGGUUUUGGAUGGACUCGCGGCUUAUCAGCUUGUUGGUGGGGUAGUGGCUUACCAAGGCUUUGACGGGUAGCCGGCCUGAGAGGGCGACCGGCCACAUUGGGACUGAGAUACGGCCCAGACUCCUACGGGAGGCAGCAGUGGGGAAUAUUGCACAAUGGGCGGAAGCCUGAUGCAGCAACGCCGCGUGCGGGAUGACGGCCUUCGGGUUGUAAACCGCUUUCAGCAGGGGCGAAGCUUGUGGUGACGGUACCUGCAGAAGAAGCACCGGCUAACUACGUG
RNAcentral lists this ribosomal RNA (465 nucleotides) under uncultured bacterium. RNAcentral's name for it is "partial 16S ribosomal RNA". It matches the Rfam family "Bacterial small subunit ribosomal RNA", at positions 28 to 507 of the family's 1533-position model. The record is from RNAcentral.